ACCAGUGUGGUGUAGUGGUUUGAGUGUUGGACUAUGACUCUGGAGACUAGGGUUCGAUUCCCAGCUCAGACA
RNAcentral lists this transfer RNA (72 nucleotides) under Phrynosoma platyrhinos (Desert horned lizard). RNAcentral describes it as "tRNA-OTHER". The record is from RNAcentral. Lineage: Eukaryota; Metazoa; Chordata; Lepidosauria; Squamata; Phrynosomatidae.